This is a long non-coding RNA of Vicia villosa (hairy vetch), 1123 nucleotides long. RefSeq lists it as uncharacterized. The record is from RefSeq and is a predicted model, not a curated record. The transcript is spliced from 2 exons. Lineage: Eukaryota; Viridiplantae; Streptophyta; Magnoliopsida; Fabales; Fabaceae.
AAAUUAUUAGUUCUUUCUGUCUUUUGUACAUGCGGAAAAUUUUCUGUAGUCAGAAGCCAAGUUUUUUUCCUGAGCCUUGAAAUAUGAUUCUCAACGGAUUUCUUCAUCGUCAUAAGAGCAUAUCCAAAGCAAUCAAGAUAAACUAAUUCCCGCCAAUCAAAGAACGGACUUCAUUGUUCAAAUCCUUUGCCUCAACUUGAUAAGAGUCAAGCCCCCGUUGUGCUUUUUUUUAAGCAAUUCAACAAUGUGAUUUUUUUCUUUCAAUUAUGGCCGUCUUUAAAUUAUCAAACACUACUAUGAAAAACACCUCUCACAACAGUUGGAAAAGAGAUAAAACCACGUCUGACCACCCAUUGUGAGGUAAUGGGCAGUUGUAUGUAUGAUGUUUUUACAAUGGGCGUACGACAAUUGUGAUAAACUAGGUAGCGCGCUAUACAUCACAACUAUUAAAGUAAACAACUGUUGUGAUAUAAAGUGAAUGGUCAUGGUUUUUGUAACACCCCUAUUUCUCUAAGCAUGAGACCUAUGGAUAAUUAAUAGUUGUUAAGAGAAGUGUUAGAAAUUCUAAGGAAUUAGUUGGAAUAAGAAGGAGAUGGUUGGAAUUGAACCAAAUGGCAUAUUGGUAAAUAUGACAUAGUUGAAGGACAAAGUGGUACUUUGACCUAAGAAGAUUAGUUAUGUGUUUUAAUUCCUCUAACCUUGCAUUUUCAUCAUAUUAUCAUGGAGGAAUCAGAAUUGGGGGAGUGAAGUGGAGAGGAGGCGUGAGAGAGAGGAAGGAAGGAAAAAGGAGAAAGUUCAUUUUGAGCUCAAUCUCCAUCAUCUCAUCUUGCAUGCUACAAGGACAACUUCAAUACCUUGAUUCAUCAUCUUCUACUUUUGUUCUGGACAACUUCUUCCAUCAUCAAGUCAGAAUCUUCUUCACCAUCUUCAUCAAGUUCAGUUUUGAGGUGAGUUCCAUAGAUAGGAACUUGGGGUAGGAGAAUUGAGAAUUUUGGCAUGAAUUGGGGUUUUGGGGAUUGAUGAGAAAUUUAUGAAUUUCAUGUUGUUAGAUUAUGCAUGUGUAGUUUGUUUCUGCUAUAUAAAUGAAAUUGUAUGAUUUUGGAAUGAUAUUGGAAGUUUGGAA